RNAcentral lists this ribosomal RNA (715 nucleotides) under Candolleomyces candolleanus. RNAcentral describes it as "partial large subunit ribosomal RNA". The record is from RNAcentral. Lineage: Eukaryota; Fungi; Basidiomycota; Agaricomycetes; Agaricales; Psathyrellaceae.
UCUGGCCAUCCGAGUUGUAAUCUAGAGAAGUGUUACCCGCGUCGGACCGUGUAUAAGUCUCCUGGAAUGGAGCGUCAUAGAGGGUGAGAAUCCCGUCUUUGACACGGACUACCGAGGCUUUGUGGUAUGCUCUCAAAGAGUCGAGUUGUUUGGGAAUGCAGCUCAAAAUGGGUGGUAAAUUCCAUCUAAAGCUAAAUAUUGGCGAGAGACCGAUAGCGAACAAGUACCGUGAGGGAAAGAUGAAAAGAACUUUGGAAAGAGAGUUAAACAGUACGUGAAAUUGCUGAAAGGGAAACGCUUGAAGUCAGUCGCGUKGGCCGGGAAUCAGCCUUGCUUUUGCUUGGUGUACUUUCUGGUUGACGGGCCAGCAUCAGUUUUGACCGGUGGAAAAAGUUCAGGGGAAUGUGGCAUCUUCGGGUGUGUUAUASCCCUUGUUCGUAUACAUCGGUUGGGACUGAGGAACUCAGCACGCCGCAAGGCCGGGUCUUUGWCCACGUUCGUGCUUAGGAURCUGGCAUAAUGGCUUUAAUCGACCCGUCUUGAAACACGGRCCAAGGAGUCUAACAUGCCUGCGAGUGUUUGGGUGGAAAACCCGAGCGCGUAAUGAAAGUGAAAGUUGAGAUCCUUGUCAUGGGGAGCAUCGACGCCCGGACCUGACGUUUUCUGAACGGCCCUGCGGUAGAGCAUGUAUGUUGGGACCCGAAAGAUGGUGAAC